Molecule: microRNA precursor, 146 nt
Filed under: Gossypium hirsutum (cotton)
Lineage: Eukaryota; Viridiplantae; Streptophyta; Magnoliopsida; Malvales; Malvaceae
Description: MIR7502 microRNA precursor family
Rfam family: MIR7502 microRNA precursor family
Source: Rfam by way of RNAcentral
UGUUGAAGGUUUCAUCUAUUUAUACUGUUAAACUAGCGUAGUUGACGGAAUAACCGGAUGGUUACACGUAAAGGGCCAUAUGUACCACCUUAUACUGACCUGCAGAGACUAGUUUUUAACAAGAGAAAUGGAUGAAAUUUUUAAUA